GAGGCAUAUCUUGACUCAGUAAUGGACAGUGCUAUGGAGGAGUUUAGGCUGUUUGAAGAGGAGCUAGAGCGAACAUCCAAGGCUGAAUAUGAUAGCCUAGUUCAAACUGCAGAUAAUGCAAGGAAGAUGGGGAAGUUGAUGGAGAAAGCAGCCACUAUUGCUUCCAAGAAGUAUAUUGAAGCUGCAAUGAAUUCAGCUACUUCUACAAUGAAGAUGGCAUGGAAGGGGAUUUCCUCUAAAAAAGUUCAUCCUUCUUGAGAUGGGGCUUUCCCCUUUGUGAUGAUAUUAUGAA
Molecule: long non-coding RNA, 292 nt
Filed under: Vitis vinifera (wine grape)
Lineage: Eukaryota; Viridiplantae; Streptophyta; Magnoliopsida; Vitales; Vitaceae
Description: long non-coding RNA (VVIN_LNC003900)
Source: RNAcentral